RNAcentral lists this ribosomal RNA (818 nucleotides) under Staphylococcus aureus. RNAcentral describes it as "partial 23S ribosomal RNA". It matches the Rfam family "Bacterial large subunit ribosomal RNA", at positions 1575 to 2393 of the family's 2925-position model. The record is from RNAcentral. Lineage: Bacteria; Bacillati; Bacillota; Bacilli; Caryophanales; Staphylococcaceae.
GACAUUGUGUCUUCGAGUCGUUGAUUUCACACUGCCGAGAAAAGCCUCUAGAUAGAAAAUAGGUGCCCGUACCGCAAACCGACACAGGUAGUCAAGAUGAGAAUUCUAAGGUGAGCGAGCGAACUCUCGUUAAGGAACUCGGCAAAAUGACCCCGUAACUUCGGGAGAAGGGGUGCUCUUUAGGGUUAACGCCCAGAAGAGCCGCAGUGAAUAGGCCCAAGCGACUGUUUAUCAAAAACACAGGUCUCUGCUAAACCGUAAGGUGAUGUAUAGGGGCUGACGCCUGCCCGGUGCUGGAAGGUUAAGAGGAGUGGUUAGCUUCUGCGAAGCUACGAAUCGAAGCCCCAGUAAACGGCGGCCGUAACUAUAACGGUCCUAAGGUAGCGAAAUUCCUUGUCGGGUAAGUUCCGACCCGCACGAAAGGCGUAACGAUUUGGGCACUGUCUCAACGAGAGACUCGGUGAAAUCAUAGUACCUGUGAAGAUGCAGGUUACCCGCGACAGGACGGAAAGACCCCGUGGAGCUUUACUGUAGCCUGAUAUUGAAAUUCGGCACAGCUUGUACAGGAUAGGUAGGAGCCUUUGAAACGUGAGCGCUAGCUUACGUGGAGGCGCUGGUGGGAUACUACCCUAGCUGUGUUGGCUUUCUAACCCGCACCACUUAUCGUGGUGGGAGACAGUGUCAGGCGGGCAGUUUGACUGGGGCGGUCGCCUCCUAAAAGGUAACGGAGGCGCUCAAAGGUUCCCUCAGAAUGGUUGGAAAUCAUUCAUAGAGUGUAAAGGCAUAAGGGAGCUUGACUGCGAGACCUACAAGUCGAG